GACGAACGCUGGCGGCGUGCUUAACACAUGCAAGUCGAACGGAAAGGCCUGCUUUCCCUUGUGGAUUGCGGGUACUCGAGUGGCGAACGGGUGAGUAACACGUGAGUGAUCUGCCCCCAACUUGGGUAUAAGCCUGGGAAACUGGGUCUAAUUCCCGAUAGGACUGCAGGGUGGUGCCUGUGGUGGAAAACGAUUUUCAAGUGGUUGGGGAUGAGCUCGCGGCCUAUCAGCUUGUUGGUGGGGUAAUGGCCUACCAAGGCGGCGACGGGUAGCCGGCCUGAGAGGGUGGACGGCCACAUUGGGACUGAGAUACGGCCCAGACUCCUACGGGAGGCAGCAGUGGGGAAUAUUACACAAUGGGCGGAAGCCUGAUGCAGCGACGCCGCGUGGGGGAUGACGGCCUUCGGGUUGUAAACUCCUUUCGACCGCGAGGAAGCCACCUGGUUGGAAGGGUGGUGACGGUAGUGGUAGAAGAAGCACCGGCUAACUACGUG
Molecule: ribosomal RNA, 494 nt
Filed under: uncultured bacterium
Lineage: Bacteria
Description: partial 16S ribosomal RNA
Rfam family: Bacterial small subunit ribosomal RNA
Source: RNAcentral